AUUCCGAUGAAGGUGAUUUGGUUCUUCCAAUCUGUUUGAGAAGCAAGCAGAUGAAGCAUAGGAGCGACGUGAUACUCCAUAUUCCCGUUAUAUGAAGAACCUGAUUGGUGAAGCUAAUUCUCAAAUCUGCCAGGAAAGCUUCGGCACCACUGCAAAUGGAGUACAACAGAAGGGAAGUGGCAGAGAGGGAAUGACAGAGGCAGGCCUAAGCAUGUUCCUUAUAUUCUUCUAUCUCCUAUUUAUUGCAUGGGUCACCAUCAUGAGUGGGCAUUUGCUUACUGGGCAAAGGAGUAGAACCCACAUAUGGUUGUUUGACCAUGCUGGAAGUGACCACUUGCCCAAAACUGAAUUAGAAGGAGAGAGGUAUAAGGAGGCAAAGUUCAUCGACAAGUCACUGUCUGCACUGGGUGAUGUUAUUGCUUCCCUUACCUUCAAAACGCCCAUGUACAUGUUUAUUCACCUUCAUUUUUGUUUUGUACAAUCACUGAAACUGGUUGCGUGCAUGCAGCAGUUCAUUAGUGCUUAUUUAAUUGAUUAUCCAUGACAAAAAUAGCUCUUUGUAGCGUUCUCUAUUCUUGAGGCUGUCGAAAACUCAAUGCUUAUAAAGAGUAAACUUUUAGUGUGACCAUCAAUGGAUUUAUUUUAUAGAUUGCAGUGGCUUUGCCAAAGUAUCAAGGCAACCAUUCAGAUGUUGGUGACAAUGAGGCACUAAGAAAGAAGAGUGCAUAUGUGGCUUUGUCUAACUUGUCAAGACCAGGCUCACGCUAUUGCUCAUAUCUUGCUUGUUAAAAUUCACAUCUUCUACACGUGAUAAGCAAGUUGCACUGAUUUUUCCAAGUGCAUUCCCAGUAUAGUAGUAUUUCUUUC
Molecule: long non-coding RNA, 867 nt
Organism: Triticum dicoccoides
Lineage: Eukaryota; Viridiplantae; Streptophyta; Magnoliopsida; Poales; Poaceae
Exons: 4
Source: RefSeq, a predicted model, not a curated record